AUCCCUACCCUCCUCCCCUGGCCUCCUUCACCUGUGGCUCCCACAGAAGGCUGGUGCUUGCUGCAGCUCCGUGUGCCUUACUUAACCACCCCUCCCUUCCCUGUUCCUACAAAAGAGGCUGCAUCUUUGUAUGUUAUAUGCAUAUAAGCUUAGUAAUGUUUUG
This is a long non-coding RNA of Pipistrellus kuhlii (Kuhl's pipistrelle), 163 nucleotides long. RefSeq lists it as uncharacterized. NCBI's taxonomy places the organism in Eukaryota, Metazoa, Chordata, Mammalia, Chiroptera, Vespertilionidae. The transcript is spliced from 2 exons. The record is from RefSeq and is a predicted model, not a curated record.